This 83-nucleotide transfer RNA is filed under the name Canis lupus familiaris (dog). It matches the Rfam family "tRNA". Rfam says of the family: Transfer RNA (tRNA) molecules are approximately 80 nucleotides in length. Their secondary structure includes four short double-helical elements and three loops (D, anti-codon, and T loops). RNAcentral also lists the same sequence under 1 other name. Lineage: Eukaryota; Metazoa; Chordata; Mammalia; Carnivora; Canidae. The record is from Rfam by way of RNAcentral.
GCCUGGGUGGCUCAGCGGUAGAGCGCCUGCCUUCGGCCCAGGCCGUGGUCCUGGGAUCGUGGGAUCGAGUCCCGCAUCGGGCU